UGUGCUAGGCAUUCUUCUAAUAAGCUCCUG
RNAcentral lists this non-coding RNA (30 nucleotides) under Homo sapiens (human). Lineage: Eukaryota; Metazoa; Chordata; Mammalia; Primates; Hominidae. The record is from RNAcentral.